GGGGUGAUCUCCGUGAGGGCAGCGGGGCGGGGGCGAGAGAAUAAGCCGGGCCCGCGGGGCCUCCGCUCGUCACCUGCGCCGGAGGCUUACAACACCGAAACUUUGGUUACAACACUGAACACUUUCCUGUUCGGGAGCAGGCCAGGACAGGGCUGUUAAACCCUGAGUGUUUUGUUGCCGUGAAAAACACAAGGAAGUUCAUCCGUUCUGUGUUUAAUGUGCCAAAGACUAUGCUUCAAAGGACAGCAAUAUUAGCUGGACCAUGUACUUCCCUUGCUGUUAAUGCAGCUGAACUGAGCCGUGUGCUGCAUGGUGAGGAACUUGAGCAAAAAACUAAGCUUUCCACUGAAUGUGAAAGAAUCCUGUUCGGCCAGUCCUGCAGGCAUAGCCACAGGGCAGAGCUACUUCUCCAAGCAUCAUGAACUGAGAGGCAAGGUCACCAAUGAGGGCACAGCCAAGGACAGGGCCAGGUGGCAAUAGCAAUGAGCUUUGCCAUACACCAAUGACCAUCACCCAAGUCUGAGAUGUCAAAUCAAGUCCAGGAUCCAUUCAGGAAGUCUUAUCAGGAUGAGGCAGGAGGCAAUACUGAAGACAUGUAUGACCUGUGUGCAGACCUACAUCUGUGGUGUAGGUCUGAGGCUCAUCCAAGGAAGGAUCAUCCAAGACAGACGGAAUUUAGUUAACGUUUCUCAUCUCCACAGAGAAGCACAAAUGCCAGCUAAUGUAAUUUUCCCCCCUACAGGUUAGAGGAAUAAAAGAAAGAGAUGGUAGAAGAUGUUCA
This 781-nucleotide long non-coding RNA is filed under the name Cyanistes caeruleus (blue tit). RNAcentral's name for it is "lncRNA (ENSCCEG00000010022.1)". The record is from RNAcentral. Lineage: Eukaryota; Metazoa; Chordata; Aves; Passeriformes; Paridae.